UCUUCAGACCAAGAUGUCACAUCCUGAGAUCGAUAAUGUUUUCAGACACUUUUAGUAAAAAUCUGAGC
Long non-coding RNA from Sander lucioperca (pikeperch), 68 nucleotides. RefSeq lists it as uncharacterized. The transcript is spliced from 3 exons. The record is from RefSeq and is a predicted model, not a curated record. Lineage: Eukaryota; Metazoa; Chordata; Actinopteri; Perciformes; Percidae.